UGCAAGUCGAGCGGUAGCACAGGGGAGCUUGCUCCCUGGGUGACGAGCGGCGGACGGGUGAGUAAUGUCUGGGAAACUGCCUGAUGGAGGGGGAUAACUACUGGAAACGGUAGCUAAUACCGCAUAACGUCGCAAGACCAAAGAGGGGGACCUUCGGGCCUCUUGCCAUCAGAUGUGCCCAGAUGGGAUUAGCUAGUAGGUGGGGUAAUGGCUCACCUAGGCGACGAUCCCUAGCUGGUCUGAGAGGAUGACCAGCCACACUGGAACUGAGACACGGUCCAGACUCCUACGGGAGGCA
Molecule: ribosomal RNA, 298 nt
Filed under: Serratia marcescens
Lineage: Bacteria; Pseudomonadati; Pseudomonadota; Gammaproteobacteria; Enterobacterales; Yersiniaceae
Description: partial 16S ribosomal RNA
Rfam family: Bacterial small subunit ribosomal RNA
Source: RNAcentral